Molecule: ribosomal RNA, 468 nt
Filed under: uncultured bacterium
Lineage: Bacteria
Description: partial 16S ribosomal RNA
Rfam family: Bacterial small subunit ribosomal RNA
Source: RNAcentral
GACGAACGCUGGCGGCGUGCUUAACACAUGCAAGUCGAACGGAAAGGCCCUGCUUUUGUGGGGUGCUCGAGUGGCGAACGGGUGAGUAACACGUGAGUAACCUGCCCUUGACUUUGGGAUAACUUCAGGAAACUGGGGCUAAUACCGGAUAGGAGCUCCUGCUGCAUGGUGGGGGUUGGAAAGUUUCGGCGGUUGGGGAUGGACUCGCGGCUUAUCAGCUUGUUGGUGGGGUAGUGGCGUACCAAGGCUUUGACGGGUAGCCGGCCUGAGAGGGUGACCGGCCACAUUGGGACUGAGAUACGGCCCAGACUCCGACGGGAGGCAGCAGUGGGGAAUAUUGCACAAUGGGCGGAAGCCGGAUGCAGCAACGCCGCGUGCGGGGUGACGGCCUUCGGGUUGUAAACCGCUUUCGCCUGUGACGAAGCGUGAGUGACGGUAAUGGGUAAAGAAGCACCGGCUAACUACGUG